GCCUACAGCUAUAGCAUGCUGAGUAUAUCUGAUCUCCUAUGAUCUUGGAAGCCAAGCAGGAUUGGGCUUAGUUAGAACUCAGAAAAUAAAGCCU
Molecule: ribosomal RNA, 94 nt
Organism: Meriones unguiculatus (Mongolian gerbil)
Lineage: Eukaryota; Metazoa; Chordata; Mammalia; Rodentia; Muridae
Source: Ensembl